CCUACGGGCGGCUGCAGUGGGGGAUAUUGGACAAUGGGGGGAACCCUGAUCCAGCGACGCCGCGUGAGUGAAGAAGUAUUUCGGUAUGUUAAGCUCUGUCAGCAGGGAAGAAAACAAUGACGGUACCUGACCAAGAAGCUCCGGCUAACUACGGGCCAGCAGCCGCGGUAAUCCGUAGGGGGCAAGCGUUAUCCGGAAUUACUGGGUGUAAAGGGAGCGUAGACGGGUGUGUAAGUCUGGAGUGAAAGGCGGGGGGCCAACCACCGGACUGCGCUGGAAACUGGAUGGCUGGAGUGCAGGAGAGGUAAGCGGAAUGCGUGGUGUAGCGGUGAAAUGCGUAGAUAUUAGGAGGAACACCAGUGGCGAAGGCGGCUUACUGGACUGUAACUGACGUUGAGGCUCGAAAGCGUGGGGAGCAAACAGGAUUAGAUACCCCUGUAGUC
Molecule: ribosomal RNA, 443 nt
Filed under: uncultured bacterium
Lineage: Bacteria
Description: partial 16S ribosomal RNA
Rfam family: Bacterial small subunit ribosomal RNA
Source: RNAcentral